RNAcentral lists this transfer RNA (88 nucleotides) under Lachnospiraceae bacterium. RNAcentral describes it as "tRNA-Ser". It matches the Rfam family "tRNA". From Rfam's summary of the family: Transfer RNA (tRNA) molecules are approximately 80 nucleotides in length. Their secondary structure includes four short double-helical elements and three loops (D, anti-codon, and T loops). Further hydrogen bonds mediate the characteristic L-shaped molecular structure. tRNAs have two regions of fundamental functional importance: the anti-codon, which is responsible for specific mRNA codon recognition, and the 3' end, to which the tRNAs corresponding amino acid is attached (by aminoacyl-tRNA synthetases). tRNAs cope with the degeneracy of the genetic code in two manners: having more than one tRNA (with a specific anti-codon) for a particular amino acid; and 'wobble' base-pairing, i.e. permitting non-standard base-pairing at the 3rd anti-codon position. Lineage: Bacteria; Bacillati; Bacillota; Clostridia; Lachnospirales; Lachnospiraceae. The record is from RNAcentral.
GGAAAGGUGGCUGAGCUGGUUUAAGGCGGCACAUUGCUAAUGUGUUGUGCAGGUAACUGCACCGGAGGUUCGAAUCCUCUCCUUUCCG